Chelonia mydas (Green sea turtle) is the source of this 194-nucleotide long non-coding RNA. RefSeq lists it as uncharacterized. NCBI's taxonomy places the organism in Eukaryota, Metazoa, Chordata, Testudines, Cheloniidae. The transcript has 2 exons. The record is from RefSeq and is a predicted model, not a curated record.
CUGCGUUGAAGAUAAUGAAAGGAACAUGUCUGAACAUGCAGGAUCUUCAGGAGAAUCCAUCCUCAACAUACAGGAUUCUGAAGAUUAUCCACCUUGAAGAUCACCAUCAAUUUCUAUAGUUUCAGAGUUAUCUGCCAAGGAUCAUGUUUCAGUCACACCAUGUAUCUCACAUAACCACAGUAUAUCACCUGUAG